AUAACAUACGAGUCUUAAAGUCUUGUAAUUGGAAUGACGGGAAUCUAAAACCUUUCCGGAGUAUCAAUUGGAGGGCAAGUCUGGUGCCAGCAGCCGCGGUAAUUCCAGCUCCAAUAGCGUAUAUUAAAAUUGUUGCAGUUAAAAAGCUCGUAGUUGAAUUUCUGCUGCAUCCGUGUCAUUCCUAACUGGUUUGUCACUGUUGUGGCUUUUUCUGGUGGUUGUGCUUCGGCUAGAUCUCCAGAUUGUUACUUUGAGAAAAUUAGAGUGCUUCAAGCAGGCUUUUGCCUUGAAUACUUUAGCAUGGAAUAACUAAGUAGGACUUUGGUUCUAUUUUGUUGGUUUAAGAGCCAAAGUAAUGAUUAAUAGGAACAGUUGGGGGCAU
This 382-nucleotide ribosomal RNA is filed under the name Cytauxzoon sp. 3 cat/Italy/2010. Its description in RNAcentral is "bacterial SSU rRNA". It matches the Rfam family "Eukaryotic small subunit ribosomal RNA", at positions 477 to 891 of the family's 1831-position model. The record is from RNAcentral. Lineage: Eukaryota; Apicomplexa; Aconoidasida; Piroplasmida; Theileriidae.